CCUACGGGUGGCAGCAGUGAGGAAUCUUCCACAAUGGGCGCAAGCCUGAUGGAGCAACGCCGCGUGCGGGAAGAAGGGUUUAGGCUCGUAAAACUCUGUUGUUGGAAGAGAAAAUGCGUGAACGUGACUGUUGACGCAGUGACGGUAUCAAAACGGAUCGUCAAGGCUAACUCCAUGACAGCCGCCGCGAUAAUAGGUAGGAGACGAGCGUUAUCCGGAUUGAUUGGGAUGAAACCGAGUGGAGGCGGUUGGUUAGGUCAGAUGUGAAGGCCUUCGGCUUAACCGAAGAAGUGCAUCGGAUACUGUGGAACUUGAGUGCAGAAGAGGUAAGCGGAAUGUAAGGUGUAGCGGUGGAAUGCGUAGAUAUAAGGCAGAACACCAGUUGCGAAGGCGGCUUUCUGGUCUGCAACUGACGCUGAGGCUCGAAAGCAUGGGGAGCGAACAGGAUUAGAUACCCGUGUAGUC
Molecule: ribosomal RNA, 465 nt
Filed under: uncultured bacterium
Lineage: Bacteria
Description: partial 16S ribosomal RNA
Rfam family: Bacterial small subunit ribosomal RNA
Source: RNAcentral